UUUCCGUAGGUGAACCUGCGGAAGGAUCAUUAUCGAGUUUUGAACGGGUUGUCUGCUGGCUCGCAAGGGCAUGUGCACGCCUGUCUCAUCCACUCUCAACUUCUGUGCACUUUUCAUAGGCCGGCUUGUGGGUGCGUUCGCGCACUUGUAGGUGUCGGGCUUAUGCUUUAUUACAAACGAUUCAGUUUUAGAAUGUCAUACUUUGCUAUAACGCAAUUAUAUACAACUUUCAGCAACGGAUCUCUUGGCUCUCGCAUCGAUGAAGAACGCAGCGAAAUGCGAUAAGUAAUGUGAAUUGCAGAAUUCAGUGAAUCAUCGAAUCUUUGAACGCACCUUGCGCUCCUUGGUAUUCCGAGGAGCAUGCCUGUUUGAGUCUCAUGGAAUUCUCAACCUUCAGCUUUAUUGAUGAAGGCUUGGACUUGGAGGUCGUGCCGGCUCUCGUAGUCGGCUCCUCUGAAAUGCAUUAGUGCGAACGUUACCAGCCGCUUCAGCGUGAUAAUUAUCUGCGUUGCUGUGGAGGGUAUUCUAGUGUUCACGCUUCUAACCGUCUUCGGACAAAUUUCUGAACUCUGAGCUCAAAUCAGGUAGGACUACCCGCUGAACUUAAGCAUAUCAAUAAGCGGAGGA
RNAcentral lists this ribosomal RNA (627 nucleotides) under Bjerkandera adusta. RNAcentral describes it as "eukaryotic LSU rRNA". The stretch from base 225 to 378 matches the Rfam family "5.8S ribosomal RNA". The record is from RNAcentral. Lineage: Eukaryota; Fungi; Basidiomycota; Agaricomycetes; Polyporales; Phanerochaetaceae.